UUAGCUCUGUUUUGUAUGGAGUUGGAACGUUUGCCUACGUUUGCCGCUAGGGGCACUGUCCCAACUGCAUACAAACGUGAGUUA
This is a non-coding RNA of Bombyx mori (domestic silkworm), 84 nucleotides long. NCBI's taxonomy places the organism in Eukaryota, Metazoa, Arthropoda, Insecta, Lepidoptera, Bombycidae. The record is from Rfam.